UGAGUAACACGUAGGUGACUUGCCCCGAAGAUGGGGAUAACCUCUGGAAACGGGGGCUAAUACCCAAUGUGCUCGGUGAUUCGGUUGAUCGAGUAAAGCUCCGGCGCUUCGGGAGAGGCCUGCGGCCCAUCAGCUAGUUGGUAGGGUAACGGCCUACCAAGGCAGAGACGGGUAGGGGGCGUGAGAGCGCGGACCCCCACACUGGCACUGCGACACGGGCCAGACUCCUACGGGAGGCAGCAGUAAGGAAUAUUGCGCAAUGGACGAAAGUCAGACGCAGCGACGCCGCGUGGGCGAUGAAGGCCUUCGGGUUGUAAAGCCCUUUUAUGGGGGAAGAGAAAAAGGACGGUACCCCAUGAAUAAGUCCCGGCUAACUACGUGCCAGCAGCCGCGGUAAAACGUAGGGGACAAGCGUUAUCCGGAUUCACUGGGCGUAAAGAGCGUUGAGGCGGUUCCGUAAGUUGGGCGUGAAAGCUCCGGGCUUAGCCCGGAGAUGUCGUUCAAUACUGCGGGGCUUGAGGACAGCAGAGGAAGGUGGAAUUCCCGGUGUAGUGGUGAAAUGCGUAGAUAUCGGGAGGAACACCCGUGGCGAAGGCGGCCUUCUGGGCUGUUCCUGACGCUGAAGGCGAAAGCUAGGGGAGCGAACGGGAUUAGAUACCCCGGUAGUCCUAGCUGUAAACGAUGGAUGCUGGGUGUGGGGGGUGUAAAUUCCCUCUGUGCCGAAGCAAACGCGUUAAGCAUCCCGCCUGGGGACUACGGCCGCAAGGCUAAAACUCAAACGAAUUGACGGGGGCCCGCACAAGCAGCGGAGCGUGUGGUUUAAUUCGAUGCUACACGAAGAACCCUUACCUGGGUUUGACAUGCACGUGGUAGGGAACCGAAAGGGGACCGACCUUCGGGAGCGUGCACAGGUGCUGCAUGGCUGUCGUCAGCUCGUGCCGUGAGGGUGGGGUUAAGUCCCGUAACGAGCGCAACCCUUGCCCUUAGUUACAAGUGUCUAAGGGGACUGCCCGGGACAAUUGGGAGGAAGGUGGGGAUGAUGUCAAGUCAGCAUGUCCUUUAUAUCCAGGG
Molecule: ribosomal RNA, 1071 nt
Filed under: uncultured organism
Description: bacterial SSU rRNA
Rfam family: Bacterial small subunit ribosomal RNA
Source: RNAcentral